CGGCCGACUCUUCCGCCGGGACCGCCUCCUUUUCACCAGCACCUGUUCAACCGGAACAUCAAGGGGCCGGGGCCCGCCGUCUCCCCGCCCUUCGCGUCUAUUUAGUACCUUUCAUCCGGGAAGGGAGGGGGUGAAUCCCCGCCCUGGAGGGGGAUGGAGGGCGGGGGAGAACUUGUCCUUGACCUGGUCUGUGGCGUCAGGGAUUUACUCCCUUAAUCCCGGCAAAGCUAGAGUUUGAGGAGGUUGGGGAGGCCGAGUUCUGGGCUGCGGCCACCACCUUCCCUUUCUCCUGCAGGGACGCGGAGUUCCGGAGGGCUGCCGGGACGAAGAGGUUGUCUGGACGGGCGGGGCGGGGGGAGGCCGGGCUCUGCGGCUUCCGAGCCCGGGGAGGGGGCCUCCAGCCCGGGGACUGUCGAGAGGGAGGGAGGGGGGUCUGCAGUUUGGGGUCGCUGCGAGGACGGCCACGCGCGGGCAUCUUGGUCUGCCCUGUGAACUUCGCUCAGACGAAAAGUUCAACCAGACCCAGACGGGAAGUCUCAGGAAAUUACCUUUACUGACAAGAAUAACACGCCGAGAACAUUAAGCGCAAACAUGUCAGCCCUAGCCAUUCGCCAGCAGAGCGGCUUGGAGGCAUCUGGGCAGCUGGGAGCCUGAGCUCAUUAUCUUCCCCUCCAACCUGCUUGUCUCUUCCUGCAUCCCACCCGCGAGUCAGCAUCAGCCGGGCCUCCGUUCCCCGCCUCCCUGUGGCCAGUUGCCUACAAAUGCUGCUGAUUCCGCCUCGAAUACCUGUCCACACUUGUGGUCACUGCUUUCCUGAGGUCGUCACCAUCCUUUGCGGCGACACUGGAUUACGUGCUGGUCCUAAAGAAGAAACUUCUCAGCCAAGGAAUCAGCGGUCAUCAGCGGAGCCCGCCAAUCAGCCCAUCAGCAUCCGAGUGGAGCUGGCAGUGGGCUCAGGCGCGGGAGGAAGCCUGAAUGUAAUCAAGCCUGGAGAUCUAAUUCCCAGUUGACAGGAAGCAGAGGGUACACAACACAACCAGAAAGCAACCAGACAAAUCUAGAAGGUGGGACAUGGCGUGUGUAAUUUACUUAAAAUACUUUAUUUAGCAAUUCAACAACUCAGUGCAUAGGGGAGAAGCGCUACUCUAGAUUUAAAUGAGGCUUAAGAGAUAUAACCACAUGCAACACGCAGAUCUUAUCUAGAUCCUGGUGGAAACAAACCAAGUGUGAAAGAAGCAUUUUGGGGGGCACCAUUAGGGGAAUUUGAAUAUGGGCUGGUUCUUAGAUGAUUUUAAGGGGUUCUUGUUAAUUUUGUAAGGUGUGGUUAUAAUAUUGUAGUAAGAAAACUUCCUGAAGUAUUUAAGAGCGAACAGUCGUGAAAACUCUAAAUAACUUGAAAAGAUUACAGUAAAAAUGAUAAAUAUGCUAAAAUGUUAAUAACGAUUACCAUGACUACCUAUUUAGGUAAUGGGCAUAUGGAGUUCAUUUCACGAUUCUCUACUUUUUUCCCCCUUCAGUUUGAAGUGUGUAUAAUGAAAAAGUUUAAAAUAUGGAUUUGAGUGUCAACUAUGUACUCAUGACUGAGCUAAGGCAAAAAUCUAAUGUGGUCCUUAUCUCCCUGAAACAUGGAGUGUGUCAGGGGUGAGGUGAGUAAUCAAUUCAUCACAAUGAUCUAUGAACAGUGACAAGUGAAUGAACACGCAUGAAGGAAGGAACACAGAUCUCCAGGGGGGAUAAUGGUGGAAGCUGACCUGGUCACAGCCCACAGCGGGGGGAGAGGUUUUCUCUGAGGCAGGAAUGAUUCAGGGGAGCUCAGAAUAGGAGCAGGUGUGGGCCAGGCACAGGAGAAGGGCAGUGGGCGAAGUGCACAGUCAGAAGGAACAGUAUGUGCUAAGGUAGGCGAGGAGGGAUCUUGUUGCUUUAGGCACUCAAGGUGGUCUGGGCAGCUGA
Molecule: long non-coding RNA, 1950 nt
Organism: Myotis myotis
Lineage: Eukaryota; Metazoa; Chordata; Mammalia; Chiroptera; Vespertilionidae
Exons: 3
Source: RefSeq, a predicted model, not a curated record